RNAcentral lists this ribosomal RNA (254 nucleotides) under uncultured bacterium. RNAcentral describes it as "partial 16S ribosomal RNA". It matches the Rfam family "Bacterial small subunit ribosomal RNA", at positions 1248 to 1500 of the family's 1533-position model. The record is from RNAcentral.
CGCAAGCUCGCGAGAGUAAGCUAAUCUCUUAAAGCCGUUCUCAGUUCGGACUGUAGGCUGCAACUCGCCUACACGAAGUCGGAAUCGCUAGUAAUCGCGGAUCAGCACGCCGCGGUGAAUACGUUCCCGGGCCUUGUACACACCGCCCGUCACACCAUGGGAGUUUGUAACGCCCAAAGUCGGUGGCCUAACCUUUAUGGAGGGAGCCGCCUAAGGCGGGACAGAUGACUGGGGUGAAGUCGUAACAAGGUACC